CAAUAGCGUAUACUAACGUUGUUGCAGUUAAAAAGCUCGUAGUUGGAUUUCUGUGUUGGUGAGGCGGCCGGCCAUUCGUGGUUGUAGCUAGUUAUCACCGGCGCAUCUUGUCACAAGCCACGCUGGCCUUAACUGGUUGGCGUUGGGGACUGACUCGUUUACUUUGAGAAAAUUAGAGUGUUCAAAGCAGGCUAUCGCCUUGAAUAUGUUAGCAUGGAAUAAUGAUAUAGGACUUUGGUUCUAUUUUGUUGGUUGUUCGAGAACCGAAGUAAUGAUUGAUAGGGACAGUUGGGGGCAUUCAUAUUCCAUUGUCAGAGGUGAAAUUCUUGGAUUAACGGAAGAUGAACUACUGCGAAAGCAUCUGCCAAGGAUGUUUUCAUUGAUCAAGAACGAAAGUUAGGGAUCGAAGACGAUUAGAUACCGU
This 424-nucleotide ribosomal RNA is filed under the name uncultured eukaryote. RNAcentral's name for it is "bacterial SSU rRNA". It matches the Rfam family "Eukaryotic small subunit ribosomal RNA", at positions 592 to 1018 of the family's 1831-position model. The record is from RNAcentral.